This 72-nucleotide transfer RNA is filed under the name Notholebias minimus. RNAcentral describes it as "Leptolebias minimus tRNA-Trp". It matches the Rfam family "tRNA". From Rfam's summary of the family: Transfer RNA (tRNA) molecules are approximately 80 nucleotides in length. Their secondary structure includes four short double-helical elements and three loops (D, anti-codon, and T loops). Lineage: Eukaryota; Metazoa; Chordata; Actinopteri; Cyprinodontiformes; Rivulidae. The record is from RNAcentral.
AGAAAUUUAGAUUAGUAUUAAGAUCAAAAGCCUUCAAAGCUUUUAGCAAAAGUGAAAACCUUUUAAUUUCUA